Molecule: ribosomal RNA, 300 nt
Filed under: uncultured Methanopyrus sp.
Lineage: Archaea; Methanobacteriati; Methanobacteriota; Methanopyri; Methanopyrales; Methanopyraceae
Description: bacterial SSU rRNA
Rfam family: Bacterial small subunit ribosomal RNA (bases 52-300)
Source: RNAcentral
GGAGAGAAGGGGCAGAGCACGGAGGGAGUGAGUAGGUGGAGGCUGUUGGGCGUAUUUGUUGGGCGUAAAGCGAGCGCAGGCGGUUACUUAAGUGUGGUGGGAAAGCGCACGGCUCAACCGGGGAAGGUCAUUGGAAACGGGGGAACUUGAGUGCAGAAGAGGAGAGUGGAAUUCCAGGUGUAGCGGUGAAAUGCGUAGAUAUAUGGAGGAACACCAGUGGCGAAGGCGACUCUCUGGUCUGUAACUGACGCUGAGGCUCGAAAGCGUGGGGAGCAAACAGGAUUAGAUACCCGAGUAUUC